Molecule: long non-coding RNA, 2815 nt
Filed under: Heterocephalus glaber (naked mole-rat)
Lineage: Eukaryota; Metazoa; Chordata; Mammalia; Rodentia; Bathyergidae
Description: lncRNA (ENSHGLG00100050663.1)
Source: RNAcentral
GGUGGAUCCAGGGCCUAAGGGUCCCUCCAGGGCCUGUCUUUCUCUCCCACAUAGAAAGAGGAGGAGGAAUCAGAGCAGACCAGUGUGAAGAAAAGACUUUAUUGCAGGUAUUUCAAGAAGUGGUACAAACCCAUCCCGGGGAAGAAGUGGGGUGCUCAGACCUGAGACACCACCACAUCUGGGGUGGAGGUCCUGUUUCCUGAGGUAGGGGUCAGUCUCCACCCCUUUGAGCGGCCACACUUGAUGAGUUACUAAACUUGUUGCCAGGGCCCAGAGUAAGUGAGCUGAUAAGGGAAUUUCGAAGGGAAGCUUUUUUGUUUGUUUGUUUCAUUUAAGGAGAAGUAACCUACUUAAAGAGGGUAUUGGGGGAACAGUGCGGCUAUGCAAAACCCAGGCUGCCCGCUCUGCUGCCUGCUGCUUGCAGAGAUGCGAAGGGGCCCAGUCCCUAAUCUAAUUCCACCUGAGAAGUCACUGUUCCUACAAUACCAUACUUUAAACAUCACUCUUGUUUUCAAGAAUAUCAAGGGAAGGGGGAAAGAGUAGGAGGAGAAAAGGGUGUCAAAAAUGAUCAAGAUAGGAUAUACAUAUGUUUGUACGAAUUCCCAAGACAAAUAUAAAUAUUAUGGAUAACAAACAUAUACCAAUAAAAUGGAAAAAAAUGUAGCAGUCUGUAUAUUUAUAGUAAAUACAUGGAUUAAUACUAGUAGCUAAUUCUGGGUAAAAUCUCACCACAGAUAGGCCCUGUCUAUAUCUAUACCCAUUUAAUCUUCCCCACAAACCUAAAUGGUAAGCACUAUUAUCAUCUGGUUGGUAGUUGAAGGAAAUGAACCACAGACACCUCAAAUAACUUCCCCAAGAUAUCAGUGGAUGUCUGGCUGAAGUUCUUAACCUUUACUUUAUACUCACUAACAGCAAAAAUGAGAAGAACCACUUUUCAAGAAUGCAAAUUUUGUUCCAGGAACAUUCAUUAUCUCACUUCACCUUUGUGCUCCUGUGAGUAAAUAAUGUCUCUGUUCUACAGAUGAGGAAACCAAGGCUUCGAGGUACCCAAUAACUGGCUUAAAGUUACUGAUAUCACGUGUUGAAUGCUAGUAAAUAAUGGAGCUGAAACUCUGGAAUUGCAAAGAGGAUAUAAAUUGUGAUCCUACUAUUUCUAGUCAGAAAAGUUUAAAACUGGCAUCUGUGGCCCUCACUUCUCUGCCAGACUCCAUGUCCCGAAGGCUGACCUUGCAGAGUGCACCACCUGGGCUACCUGUUCAGUUCAACCAACAAGAAUUGUCCUCUUCCACUGCCUCAAUGCUAAGGAUCCAACUGUGGCUUCUCCUUUUAUAACAACUCCUGAUAGACUCUUACCAUAACACCAGCUCUCCCUAAGAUCCAAAAACAUGAUUGCCUCCCCUGUUCCUUUAGGCCUAACAGUAAUAUCAUCUUCUUCUUACAGCCAUACGUGGGUGCCGUAGGAUCCCUUGCUGAUGUGAUCCAUUCAUAGUUCUAUAUAAGGUGCCUUCAUUCAAUUCUCAUCAGAGCCUAAUGUGACUGUGCAUUUUCAUCUUGCCAGGCCCCUGAGUGAUAUAACAAAUACUUAUAACAGACGGAAAUGGUGGAGGACAAGGGACCCCACUUCAGAGCCCCUACCAUAGGCCAAGCAGACAGCCAAGUAAUUUUAUGGUUGAUAAUAAAUGUCAAUCACUCUGAAGAAAGGGGUGUGAGGCAGGGUAAGACAAAGCGGGUGUCACAGGAAUUUGAGACAUAGGUUUCAGAUCCUUGCCAUUAGGUACUCCUAUUUCCCCAACUCAGAAUUUGAUAAAAGAAGGAGAAUCAGAACUAAUCCAUUCAGUUAGCCUGAAUAACAGAAAUGCUAGAGUGUAAAAUGUAGAUGUAAAAUAUUCUUCCAAGUUUGAAUGCAAUUUAAAUAGAAAGAGUGAAGGAAAGAGCAAGUAUUUAACUUUUUUUUUGUACCAUUCUAUGUACCUUAGUGUAGCACAGAGGUGAGCAGACAUAAACAUGAUUAAUGAAGUGACUAAUGUCCUCACUUAAAUCUCUGGAAUGGUUUACAAUUUUAAAAGGGUAUACCAUCAAAAGGAUGUGUUCCCCCCCUUCACACACACACACACACACACACACACACACACACACACGUUUAAGCAUGACUUAAAUAAUAGAAAAAAUAGUAACCAGUGGCAAGUGUCUAGCACAGGAAUGAUGACGGGUCCUGAGUGCUGUGGAUUGGAUCGGGAAUGUGCUCUAAAGGCCCAUAUUCACAGCCUCGGUCUAUAGCGUGGUCCUAUUGAGAGGUUGGGGCAACACUAAGGGGUGAGGCCUCAUGGGACGUUUUAGGUCACUGAGGCUGCACUUGAUGGGGAUUGUGGACCCUGGAAUCUUUUUCUUUUUCUUUUGGUUCCCAGCCAUGAGCAAAUAGCUUUGCUCCUCCUCCCUGCUCUCCUACCAGGAUGUGCUGCUCUGCCACAGGUCCAAAAGUAAUGAGGCCAACCAACUAUGGACUGAAGCUUCCUAAACUGUGAGCCAAACAAAACCUUUCUUGUGAUAAAUUGAUCAUCUCAGAUAUUUGUUUUAGUAAUGGAUAUCUAAGAUAGAAAAUUCUGGGUUAGGCCUUAGCAACCACCACAGUUAGAUGAUUCAAAGGUUAUCUUAUUAAAAUAUUCUAAGUAUCAGUUCUGUCAGGAAAAAAUAACUGCAAUCUUUUUUAUCAAUAUUUUUUCUUUUUUUGCAAGUUUUUUUAAAAAGUAGAACAGAAAAGGUACUUUAGAUCCUUUGUGCACAACCUAUAACCAAACAAAAUAACCACAGCCUAGGG